Molecule: long non-coding RNA, 1534 nt
Filed under: Vulpes vulpes (red fox)
Lineage: Eukaryota; Metazoa; Chordata; Mammalia; Carnivora; Canidae
Description: lncRNA (ENSVVUG00000014598.1)
Source: RNAcentral
AUGCCGGGCUGGGCACGUCCCAGAUUCCGGGAGCCAGAGAGAAGUCCUGGCAUCGGGGCCGCAGGUGCAUCAGGACACCCAGGCAGAGUGAGAGCCGGGGUCCUGCCUGCCCUGGGGGCUGGAGUGAUGAGUGUGGCGACCUCAGAGUGCCUGCAAAGCCACCUCCAGAGAAGGACUCACAGAGACAACAUCGGGCUCUGGGAGUUAGAAGGGAGGUACUUGGUGGAAGGGCCUGGAAGACUAGAAAAUGAUGAGCCUUCGAGAGGAGGGCCACAUGGGCGCCCUGGGAGACCUUUGCUCGGCAUGAGCUUUGAAGAUGUGAGAACCCCCAGGACCCAAGUCUGGCAGAGAAGAAGCUCCCAAUUCCAUCCACCUCUCAUCUCUCCCUCCAAGUGUCUUGGAGAAAGCCAGAGCUCCGCCCCUAAGCUGUCCUGUGGCCAGUGGGUCACCCCACCAUCCACCCAGCACCCCCAUCCCAUCACCCCCCUCCUUUGUUGUCUUCAUAGCGUUCAUCACAAUCUGAACUUGCCUUGAUUGUUUUCUGUAAUAGUUUCAUGUUGGCUCUCUCAUGAGAGCGGGGACGGAGUCUAUCCUAUCCACUGCUGUGUUCGCACAGAAUACACACACCCGAGCGCAGUGCGUAGUAGGUGCUUAAUGAACGGGUAUUGAGUGGAGCAAAGAAUCCUCCCUAGUGACCAGCUUGUCACAUGUCACAGAUGCAACCUCCCCCUUCCUUGCACAUGGCAGACGGGCACGGGCCCUGAGCGCCGCGGCUGCAUUUUACCCACACCUGGGUCGCCAGGGCCCAGAACGGACCCCCGCGCAUAAUGAGCGCUCCACAAACCUCUGUGGCCUGAGUGCAUUGUCAGUGCACUUCUUGUCUCUGAGCCCUGUCUCCAGAGCUGACUUUUCUGUGGGUGGUAACGGUCACAUUGGGAAAAUGCCCGUGGGGACUCAAAAACAGGCUGCCCCCUCUUCUGGGAGGCAGAAGAGUGAGCACAUUACAAGUGGGACAGUGGAGUCAGACAUGCUGUGUGACCCCCAGACAGGAGCUUCCCUCUCUGAACCCCAGAUUUCUCAUCUGGACAAGCGAAUACCAUGUGUGCCCGUCGGGGGCUGCUGUGAGGAGAAAUAACCCACGUCCGGUUCCGAACAGAGAGCCUGGCACAUGGCAACUGCUGGGUAUUUGGGAGCUUUUAACAUCCACAAAACCAGUGUUGCUCCCUCAUACCAGUGCAGCCUUGGAAGGCACCUCCCCCUCUUUUGGUGGAUAUGGUGUCCACAUACCCUGCUCGCAGCCAAAUGCGUGCUAACAUCAGGGGUCCCGGCUCCUCCGUGGCCCCCUCUGGGGUGAGGGAGCUAGGCGGUGCACAGUCCAACCAGCCUCCCUCCCAGCCACACAGGGCAGCUCCACUGGGUGAGGAUCUGAGGCCGCAGCCAGCUGGCUUCCCGGCCACUCAGGCCACCUGGACAUCAAGGCGUCCCCUCUCGUCUCAGAUUGCUGUGAAGAUGACCCACCCACCGCGGUGGGUGG